GUCGAACGGCAGCACGGGUGCUUGCACCUGGUGGCGAGUGGCGAACGGGUGAGUAAUAUAUCGGAACGUACCCGGAAAUGGGGGAUAACGUAGCGAAAGUUACGCUAAUACCGCAUAUGCCCUGAGGGGGAAAGCGGGGGAUUCGCAAGAACCUCGCGUUUUCGGAGCGGCCGAUAUCGGAUUAGCUAGUAGGUGAGGUAAAGGCUCACCUAGGCGACGAUCCGUAGCUGGUCUGAGAGGACGACCAGCCACACUGGAACUGAGACACGGUCCAGACUCCUACGGGAGGCAGCAGUGGGGAAUUUUGGACAAUGGGCGCAAGCCUGAUCCAGCCAUGCCGCGUGAGUGAAGAAGGCCUUCGGGUUGUAAAGCUCUUUCAGCCGGAAAGAAAACGGACAGGAUAAUACCCUGUGUGGAUGACGGUACCGGAAGAAGAAGCACCGGCUAACUACGUGCCAGCAGCCGCGGUAAUACGUAGGGUGCGAGCGUUAAUCGGAAUUACUGGGCGUAAAGCGUGCGCAGGCGGUUUUGUAAGACAGACGUGAAAUCCCCGGGCUUAACCUGGGAACUGCGUUUGUGACUGCAAGGCUAGAGUACGGCAGAGGGGGGUAGAAUUCCACGUGUAGCAGUGAAAUGCGUAGAUAUGUGGAGGAAUACCGAUGGCGAAGGCAGCCCCCUGGGUCGAUACUGACGCUCAUGCACGAAAGCGUGGGGAGCAAACAGGAUUAGAUACCCUGGUAGUCCACGCCCUAAACGAUGUCAACUAGGUGUUGGGGGAGGAGACUUCCUUAGUACCGUAGCUAACGCGUGAAGUUGACCGCCUGGGGAGUA
This 831-nucleotide ribosomal RNA is filed under the name uncultured organism. RNAcentral's name for it is "bacterial SSU rRNA". It matches the Rfam family "Bacterial small subunit ribosomal RNA", at positions 61 to 882 of the family's 1533-position model. The record is from RNAcentral.